Molecule: ribosomal RNA, 854 nt
Filed under: uncultured marine bacterium
Lineage: Bacteria
Description: bacterial SSU rRNA
Rfam family: Bacterial small subunit ribosomal RNA
Source: RNAcentral
UGGUGGUCGCCUUAUGCAUGCAAGUCGAGCGAAGCUUUUAGUAGUUUACUACAGAAAAUGACUGAGCGGCGAACGGGUGAGUAACGCGUGAGCAAUCUACCUUAGUUACAGGGAUAGCCCGAGGAAACUCGGAUUAAUACCUGAUAUUCUUUACAUUUCGCAUGAAAAUUAAAGGGAAGGGUCAGCCGAACUAAGAUGAGCUCGCGUUCUAUCAGCUAGUUGGUGAGGUAAAAGCUUACCAAGGCUACGACGGAUAGCUGGUCUGAGAGGACGAUCAGCCACACUGGGACUGAGACACGGCCCAGACUCCUACGGGAGGCUGCAGCAGGGAAUAUUGUGCAAUGAACGAAAGUUUGACACAGCGACACCGCGUGUGGGAUGACGGAUCUAGGUUUGUAAACCACUUUCAGGAGGGAAGAAAAUGUCGACGGUACCCCCCACAAGAAGCCCCGGCCAACUACGUGCCAGCAGCCCGCGGUAAUACGUUAGGGGGGCGAGCGUUGUCCGGAUUUUUUUGUGGCGGGAAAGAGCUCGUAGGCGGUUUAUCCACUUCGGUGGCGGGAAUUUUCGGGCUCACACCCCUGAAUGUCGAUCGAUACUGUUGUGACUAGGAUACGGUAGAGGUGAGUGGAAUUCCGAGUGUAGCGGUGAAUGCGUAGAUUUCCGGAGGAACACCCACUGGCGAGGGCAGCUCACUGGACCGCUAUCCGACGCUGAGGAGCGAGAGCUAGGGGAGCCACCAGGAUUUGAUACCCUGGGUAUCCCUACUGUAACGAUGGGAACUACACGUUAGACCGGGUUGGCGGUCCUGUGUCGUACCUACGCGUAAUAUCCCGCUGGGAUACCGUCCCGAC